RNA transcript from Hippocampus comes (tiger tail seahorse), 2289 nucleotides. RefSeq lists it as uncharacterized. The record is from RefSeq and is a predicted model, not a curated record. The transcript has 20 exons. Lineage: Eukaryota; Metazoa; Chordata; Actinopteri; Syngnathiformes; Syngnathidae.
ACAAGUGUUUUGGGUGUGAUCCAUGAAGGAAUUAAACUGAUAUUUGAAGGAUGUGUCACGUUUUGUGUGAUCGGUUGGGUGCUGAGAAGUUUUUAGAAAGUUUUUUUUUCCCAGUAGAUCGCUGGCACAUGAUGACGAUGUUGAGCUGACUUUUGCCGAUUGACGCCAGCUCGUCUGAGUUUGUUGGCAUUGGACAGAAAGGUCACGACGAGUCAUCUCAUGUCAUCUCAUCUCACUCAUCUCAUCUCAUUCCGACCAGGUGACGCAGGUGAGCUCGCUCCAUCGGGCACAUGUGAAACUUUUCGCCGCUCUUGUGGCGCAAGCAUGAACAUGUUUCGGAAAGAAAAACGCUCGGCAGCAGCAGCAGCCACCACUCCGUCGCUGCCGCCGAGGCCCGGCAAACAGGUCGGGACGGACCAGAGUGGGUUGGGGGGCCUGCCGGCAGGAUUUGGUGCAACGGUUGAGCCGCAGGAUGAGGCCGAGGCGCAGGCUGAGUCGAUGGCGCAGAACCUUGAUGCACAGGAUACAGCUGCGACUCAGCAGGGAAGCAACCGCAAAGCCGCAGGUCUCCCAAAGUCCAAGAAGACGCGGGUGAUGGGUGUGAUGCAGAAAGUCAACCCGUUCAAGAGUUCUUCGUCACAGACCCCUUCCGCAGUUACUGCUGAUUCACCUGAACUGGGAACAGACACCACGCAGAACCCGGGAAUGCUGAAAGGGAUGAUUCAGAAAGUCAACCCGUUCAAGUCUUCAGCACAGGCGGCUAACAAGGAGCCUCAGGAGGAGUCUACAGAAACCCAACAGACAGAAUUGGAUGGAAAAGAGAACCCCGGAAUGCUCGCGAGUGUUAUACAGAAGGUCAACCCGUUCAAAUCCUGGCAGUCAAAGCCCGACACCGCCCCUGGCCAAGAAAGCCUGACGGACAACCUGCCCGAGAAGCCGGUAGAGACACCACACGAGGAGACGGACUCUGUGGCAUCUGUGAAGCAGGACGGGGCAUCGUGGCCCGGCCCCGAGAGCUCAGACGCCGACACCGUCGCGGAGACACGUUCUGUUUGGUACGUAGAUGAGCCCAGUAGCAAUGAGCUGAACAGCCGAGCGAAUGAGCAGCCGAAGAAACGAAAGAAGACCUUCAGAAUCAAAAGAAUUCUUCCCACUGCACUGUUUCGCUCAGGUGCAAAGCAGGACUCAGACGCCCGCACUGAGGAGGUGGAGAUCCAACCGCUGGAGAUGGUCGACAUGCCCGCGUUGGACGACGCCAGUGCCACGGACCCGCUGGAGGAUGAAGACGGACUCCUGGCGUGGUGGAGAACAGUUGACGGGUGGAGCGAGUGGAAUGAGACCACCCAAGACCACCAGUCUGAAGAGGUGGUGGAAGAAGCGGCGGACCGCGUAUUCAUGGCGGCGCGCCUGUUCGUGCGCCUGUUCAACCAGCGCGGCGCAUCGCUCCAGCAGCGCGUCCUGGCGCUGUUGGCGCUGGCCGACGCCGCCGACAACUUCCACAAGAAGACGGUCUCGGCCAGCGUGGGCGGCGGGGUGGUCGGCGUGGCCGGCUCUGUCACCACCAUCACGGGACUCAUCCUGGCCCCGUUCACGGCCGGAACGUCGCUCAUCGUCACGGCGGUGGGCAUCGGCGUGGCCACGGCGGGCGGCCUCACCUCCGCCUCCGCCAACAUCACCGACACGGUGCAUUCCAAGACGGAUCGCAAGAAAGUGGAGAAGAUGAUCCAGGACUACCAGGAGGAGAUGAACGACAUCAAAGACUGUCUCCAGUUCUUACAGUUCUGACAGCGUUUUGGAACCAAUGUCCCCAAAAUUGGUCUUCAUUUUGUUAUUGGCUGGCGUGUUUAUGGCUGCCUAUGGCCAAGAUGACCCGGCUGAUGACGGCUCAGGCGACCAGGACGACGACAAUGGCUCAGGCGACCAGGAUGACGACGACGGCUCAGGCGACCAGGAUGACUCAGCUCCCCCAACCGUGCCGCCGGUUGCCACCACAAGCCGCGCCAGCCACCAGCAGAAUCACUCCCUUACAAAAGCUCUGCUUAUCACGGUGGCUCUGCUGGCUGUGCUUGCACUGUGAAAGUCUCAAGUGCACCUAACAUCUCAAUGGUUUUUAUUUUUUCUUGCUCCAUUUCGGCUCACUGUCUCCUUUUGGAAGGCAGCUUUUAUUUUCAAGAUGUUUUUAUUUGAUUAUGAUGGAAGUGAUCCAAUUGAAAUAAUCCACAUUCAGUCUUGUAUAAAUUGAUAUACGUCCAUAUUUGAUAAUUUAUCAUUACAAACUUGCACAAGAGA